Molecule: transfer RNA, 77 nt
Filed under: bacterium
Lineage: Bacteria
Also listed under: 3 other names
Description: tRNA-Ile
Rfam family: tRNA
About the family: Transfer RNA (tRNA) molecules are approximately 80 nucleotides in length.
Source: RNAcentral
GGGCUUGUAGCUCAGUUGGUUAGAGCGCGUCACUGAUAAUGACGAGGUCCCAGGUUCAAGUCCUGGCAAGCCCACCA